UGGGGAAUAUUGCACAAUGGAGGGAACUCUGAUGCAGCAACGCCGCGUGCGGGAUGACGGCCUUCGGGUUGUAAACCGCUUUCAGCCAUGACGAAGCUUUUGUGACGGUAGUGGUAGAAGAAGCACCGGCUAACUACGUGCCAGCAGCCGCGGUGAUACGUAGGGUGCGAGCGUUGUCCGGAAUUAUUGGGCGUAAAGAGCUUGUAGGCGGUUUGUCGCGUCGAUAGCGUAAACACGCAGCUUAACUGUGUGCCUGCUGUCGAUACGGGCUGACUAGAGGAGGGUAGGGGAGAAUGGAAUUCCCGGUGGAGCGGUGGAAUGCGCAGAUAUCGGGAGGAACACCAGUGGCGAAGGCGGUUCUCUGGACCUUUCCUGACGCUGAGAAGCGAAAGCGUGGGUAGCAAACAGG
Molecule: ribosomal RNA, 409 nt
Filed under: Fusobacteriota bacterium
Lineage: Bacteria; Fusobacteriati; Fusobacteriota
Description: Fusobacteria bacterium partial 16S ribosomal RNA
Rfam family: Bacterial small subunit ribosomal RNA
Source: RNAcentral